CCUACGGGUGGCAGCAGUGGGGGAUAUUGCACAAUGGGGGGAACCCUGAUGCAGCGACGCCGCGUGGGUGAAGGAGCGCUUCGGCGCGUAAAGCCCUAUCGGCAGGGAAGAAGAUGACGGUACCUGACCAAUACUCCCCGGCUAACUACGUGCCAGCAGCCGCGGUAAUACGGAGGAUGCGGGCGUUAUCCGGAUUUACUGGGUUAAAGGGGUGCGUAGGCGGUCUGUUAGGCCCGCGGUAAAGGCCUGGGGCCAACCCCAGGGACGCCGUUGAAACUGGCAGGCUCGAGUUGGGGAGAGGUAGGCGGAAUGCGCGGUGUAGCGGUGAAAUGCAUAGAUAUCGCGAAGAACUCCGAUUGCGAAGGCAGCAUGCCGGCUCGAAACUGACGCUGAGGCACGAAAGCGUGGGUAUCGAACAGGAUUAGAUACCCUAGUAGUC
Molecule: ribosomal RNA, 439 nt
Filed under: uncultured bacterium
Lineage: Bacteria
Description: partial 16S ribosomal RNA
Rfam family: Bacterial small subunit ribosomal RNA
Source: RNAcentral